This 92-nucleotide microRNA precursor is filed under the name Pelobates cultripes (western spadefoot toad). The stretch from base 10 to 82 matches the Rfam family "mir-34 microRNA precursor family". Rfam says of the family: Human mir-34a was discovered computationally and later experimentally verified. The mature sequence is excised from the 5' arm of the hairpin. The record is from RNAcentral. Lineage: Eukaryota; Metazoa; Chordata; Amphibia; Anura; Pelobatidae.
CUGUGUUAAGCUUUGAGGCAGUGUAGUUAGCUGAUUGUGCAUUUAUAUAACUUACAAUCACUAGCUACACUACCAUCAGAAUUUAACACACA